UACAGAGGUCUCAAGCGUUGUUCGGAUUCAUUGGGCGUAAAGAGCUCGUAGGCGGCCACUCAAGUCGAAUGUGAAACCUCGAGGCUUAACCUCGAGCCUGCAUUCGAUACUGGGCGGCUAGAGUCUGGUAGGGGGAUCUGGAAUUCCUGGUGUAGCGGUGGAAUGCGCAGAUAUCAGGAGGAACACCGGUGGCGAAGGCGGGAUCCUGGGCCGGUACUGACGCUGAGGAGCGAAAGCGUGGGGAGCAAACAGG
RNAcentral lists this ribosomal RNA (253 nucleotides) under uncultured bacterium. RNAcentral's name for it is "partial 16S ribosomal RNA". It matches the Rfam family "Bacterial small subunit ribosomal RNA", at positions 524 to 776 of the family's 1533-position model. The record is from RNAcentral.